This is a long non-coding RNA of Melozone crissalis (California towhee), 422 nucleotides long. RefSeq lists it as uncharacterized. The record is from RefSeq and is a predicted model, not a curated record. The transcript is spliced from 2 exons. Lineage: Eukaryota; Metazoa; Chordata; Aves; Passeriformes; Passerellidae.
CCCCGAGCUGAGCUGUGCUGGGACAGCCGGGGAGGCGCUCCGGGAGGGCACUGGAACCUGCGAGAGCAGAUGUGAAGGGAUAACCUGCCCGUGGGACACAGCAAGAGCUCUGGAGCCACGUGGGUGAGGUAAAUUGUUGGUGUGGGGCUUCCUGGAGCAGCAGGAGUGGUCAGAAGUGAAGUUGUCAAUGCUGCUUUGAAGAUCCUUGUUUGAAAGGUGAAGAUGGAAACCUGGAGCCCACAGUUUAAACAGGGCAGCUGGAGAAUUUGUUUUCAGAAUGUGGAUGUAGGAAUUAAAAACAUCAAAGGUGGUUUGGGGCAAGAUAUAACAAGAAUUAUGUGUACAAUUUAUUGUUAAUCUCCUCUCAUUGCUUGUUGGAAAUACAUUUUUACAUGACCUCAAUUAAACAUAUUUAUAUUUAA